CCUACGGGCGGCAGCAGUGGGGAAUAUUGGGCAAUGGGCGCAAGCCUGACCCAGCAACGCCGCGUGAAGGAAGAAGGCUCUCGGGUUGUAAACUUCUUUUAUCAGGGACGAAGCAAGUGACGGUACCUGAUGAAUAAGCCACGGCUAACUACGUGCCAGCAGCCGCGGUAAUACGUAGGUGGCAAGCGUUAUCUGGAUUUACUGGGUGUAAAGGGCGUGUAGGCGGGAAAGCAAGUCAGAUGUGAAAACCAUGGGCUCAACCUGUGGCCUGCAUUUGAAACUGUUUUGCUUGAGUACUGGAGAGGCAGACGGAAUUCCUAGUGUAGCAGUGAAAUGCGUAGAUAUUAGGAGGAACACCAGUGGCGAAGGCAGUCUGCUGGACAGCAACUGACGCUGAGGCGCGAAAGCGUGGGGAGCAAACAGGAUUAGAUACCCGGGUAGUC
Molecule: ribosomal RNA, 443 nt
Filed under: uncultured bacterium
Lineage: Bacteria
Description: partial 16S ribosomal RNA
Rfam family: Bacterial small subunit ribosomal RNA
Source: RNAcentral